CCUCCGCAAUGUGAGCAAUCGCGACGGGGGGAUCCCAAGUGCCAUUCUUAACGGGAUGGCUUUUCUUAAGUGUAAAGAGCUUUUGGAAUAAGAGCUGGGCAAGACCGGUGCCAGCCGCCGCGGUAACACCGGCAGCUCUAGUGGUAGCUGUUUUUAUUGGGCCUAAAGCGUUCGUAGCCGGUUUAAUAAGUCUUUGGUGAAAUCCUGUAGCUUAACUAUGGGAAUUGCUGAGGAUACUGUUAGGCUUGAGGUCGGGAGAGGUUAGCGGUACUCCCAGGGUAGGGGUGAAAUCCUGUAAUCCUGGGAGGACCACCUGUGGCGAAGGCGGCUAACUGGAACGAACCUGACGGUGAGGGACGAAAGCUAGGGGCGCGAACCGGAUUAGAUACCCGUGUAGUCC
RNAcentral lists this ribosomal RNA (400 nucleotides) under uncultured archaeon. Its description in RNAcentral is "bacterial SSU rRNA". It matches the Rfam family "Archaeal small subunit ribosomal RNA", at positions 347 to 747 of the family's 1478-position model. The record is from RNAcentral.